This 222-nucleotide ribosomal RNA is filed under the name uncultured bacterium. RNAcentral's name for it is "partial 16S ribosomal RNA". It matches the Rfam family "Bacterial small subunit ribosomal RNA", at positions 109 to 334 of the family's 1533-position model. The record is from RNAcentral.
AGUAAUGUCUGGGAAACUGCCUGAGGGAGGGGGAUAACUACUGGAAACGGUAGCUAAUACCGCAUAAUGUCGCAAGACCAAAGUGGGGGACCUUCGGGCCUCAUGCCAUCGGAUGUGCCCAGAUGGGAUUAGCUAGUAGGUGGGGUAACGGCUCACCUAGGCGACGAUCCCUAGCUGGUCUGAGAGGAUGACCAGCCACACUGGAACUGAGACACGGUCCAG